RNAcentral lists this ribosomal RNA (257 nucleotides) under Klebsiella aerogenes. Its description in RNAcentral is "partial 23S ribosomal RNA". It matches the Rfam family "Bacterial large subunit ribosomal RNA", at positions 2110 to 2366 of the family's 2925-position model. Lineage: Bacteria; Pseudomonadati; Pseudomonadota; Gammaproteobacteria; Enterobacterales; Enterobacteriaceae. The record is from RNAcentral.
CUUGACACUGAACAUUGAGCCUUGAUGUGUAGGAUAGGUGGGAGGCUUUGAAGCGUGGACGCCAGUCUGCGUGGAGCCAACCUUGAAAUACCACCCUUUAAUGUUUGAUGUUCUAACGUUGGCCCCUUAUCGGGGUUGCGGACAGUGUCUGGUGGGUAGUUUGACUGGGGCGGUCUCCUCCCAAAGAGUAACGGAGGAGCACGAAGGUUAGCUAAUCCUGGUCGGACAUCAGGAGGUUAGUGCAAUGGCAUAAGCUA